This 551-nucleotide ribosomal RNA is filed under the name uncultured earthworm cast bacterium. RNAcentral's name for it is "bacterial SSU rRNA". It matches the Rfam family "Bacterial small subunit ribosomal RNA", at positions 45 to 608 of the family's 1533-position model. The record is from RNAcentral.
UGCUUAACACAUGCAAGUCGAACGAUGAAGGGGAGCUUGCUUCCUGGAUUAGUGGCGAACGGGUGAGUAACACGUGAGCAACCUGCCCCUGACUCUGGGAUAAGCGCUGGAAACGGCGUCUAAUACUGGAUAUGUGACGUGACCGCAUGGUCUGCGUUUGGAAAGAUUUUUCGGUUGGGGAUGGGCUCGCGGCCUAUCAGCUUGUUGGUGAGGUAAUGGCUCACCAAGGCGUCGACGGGUAGCCGGCCUGAGAGGGUGACCGGCCACACUGGGACUGAGACACGGCCCAGACUCCUACGGGAGGCAGCAGUGGGGAAUAUUGCACAAUGGGCGGAAGCCUGAUGCAGCAACGCCGCGUGAGGGAUGACGGCCUUCGGGUUGUAAACCUCUUUUAGCAGGGAAGAAGCGUGAGUGACGGUACCUGCAGAAAAAGCACCGGCUAACUACGUGCCAGCAGCCGCGGUAAUACGUAGGGUGCAAGCGUUAUCCGGAAUUAUUGGGCGUAAAGAGCUCGUAGGCGGUUUGUCGCGUCUGCUGUGAAAUCUGGGGGC